This 636-nucleotide long non-coding RNA is filed under the name Brassica rapa (field mustard). RNAcentral describes it as "long non-coding RNA (BRAP_LNC001542)". Lineage: Eukaryota; Viridiplantae; Streptophyta; Magnoliopsida; Brassicales; Brassicaceae. The record is from RNAcentral.
GUGAUGUUUAACAUGUUAUCACAAUUUUUAUUGUAUAAUAGUAUUACAUUUUGAAUGUUUUAUUUAGGGCAAUUGUCAAUAAUAGCACCUUUUGAAGUUUAUGUCACAAAAAUAGCACUAGAAGGAGAAAGUCACAAAAAUGAUAUUCAUUAAAUGAUAAAAUAUCUCUAAUACCCUUGGUUUAAAAUUAAAUAAACAAACAAAAAUAAAUAAAAAUAAAUAAUAUAAAAAUAAAAAAUGAAAAAAAGAAAUUUUUUUAUAGUUUCAGAUUAUAUUUUUCAGAUUCGAAAUUUUUUUUCCGAUUUUUUUUUUAUUUUUUUUUCAAAUUUUUUUUUAUAAUUUAAAAAUACUUUUUGAAACUGUUUUUAAAAUUUUUAUUUUUAUUUUAGUAUUUAUUUUUUAUAAAAUUUUAAAGGGCAAUUGUCAAUAAUAGCACCUUUUGAAGUUUAUGUCACAAAAAUAGCACUAGAAGGAGAAAGUCACAAAAAUGACAUUCAUUAAAAGGUAAAAUAUCGCUAAUACCCUUGGUUUAAAAUUAAAUAAACAAACAAAAAUAAAUAAAAAUAAUUAAAAUAAAAAUAAAAAUAAAAAAGAAAAAAAAUAAUUUUUUUUUUAUAGUUUCAGAUUAUAUGUUUU